AGGUGCGAUCAUACCAGCACUAAUGCACCGGAUCCCAUCAGAACUCCGCAGCUAAGCGUGGUUGGGCGAGAGUAGUACUAGGAUGGGUUACCUCCUGGGAAGUCCUCGUGUUGCACUUC
This is a non-coding RNA of Phaseolus vulgaris (common bean), 119 nucleotides long. NCBI's taxonomy places the organism in Eukaryota, Viridiplantae, Streptophyta, Magnoliopsida, Fabales, Fabaceae. The record is from Rfam.